RNAcentral lists this ribosomal RNA (2924 nucleotides) under Escherichia coli. Its description in RNAcentral is "23S ribosomal RNA". It matches the Rfam family "Bacterial large subunit ribosomal RNA". The record is from RNAcentral. Lineage: Bacteria; Pseudomonadati; Pseudomonadota; Gammaproteobacteria; Enterobacterales; Enterobacteriaceae.
GGGUUGUGAGGUUAAGCGACUAAGCGUACACGGUGGAUGCCCUGGCAGUCAGAGGCGAUGAAGGACGUGCUAAUCUGCGAUAAGCGUCGGUAAGGUGAUAUGAACCGUUAUAACCGGCGAUUUCCGAAUGGGGAAACCCAGUGUGAUUCGUCACACUAUCAUUAACUGAAUCCAUAGGUUAAUGAGGCGAACCGGGGGAACUGAAACAUCUAAGUACCCCGAGGAAAAGAAAUCAACCGAGAUUCCCCCAGUAGCGGCGAGCGAACGGGGAGCAGCCCAGAGCCUGAAUCAGUGUGUGUGUUAGUGGAAGCGUCUGGAAAGGCGCGCGAUACAGGGUGACAGCCCCGUACACAAAAAUGCACAUACUGUGAGCUCGAUGAGUAGGGCGGGACACGUGGUAUCCUGUCUGAAUAUGGGGGGACCAUCCUCCAAGGCUAAAUACUCCUGACUGACCGAUAGUGAACCAGUACCGUGAGGGAAAGGCGAAAAGAACCCCGGCGAGGGGAGUGAAAAAGAACCUGAAACCGUGUACGUACAAGCAGUGGGAGCACGCUUCGGCGUGUGACUGCGUACCUUUUGUAUAAUGGGUCAGCGACUUAUAUUCUGUAGCAAGGUUAACCGAAUAGGGGAGCCGAAGGGAAACCGAGUCUUAACUGGGCGUUAAGUUGCAGGGUAUAGACCCGAAACCCGGUGAUCUAGCCAUGGGCAGGUUGAAGGUUGGGUAACACUAACUGGAGGACCGAACCGACUAAUGUUGAAAAAUUAGCGGAUGACUUGUGGCUGGGGGUGAAAGGCCAAUCAAACCGGGAGAUAGCUGGUUCUCCCCGAAAGCUAUUUAGGUAGCGCCUCGUGAAUUCAUCUCCGGGGGUAGAGCACUGUUUCGGCAAGGGGGUCAUCCCGACUUACCAACCCGAUGCAAACUGCGAAUACCGGAGAAUGUUAUCACGGGAGACACACGGCGGGUGCUAACGUCCGUCGUGAAGAGGGAAACAACCCAGACCGCCAGCUAAGGUCCCAAAGUCAUGGUUAAGUGGGAAACGAUGUGGGAAGGCCCAGACAGCCAGGAUGUUGGCUUAGAAGCAGCCAUCAUUUAAAGAAAGCGUAAUAGCUCACUGGUCGAGUCGGCCUGCGCGGAAGAUGUAACGGGGCUAAACCAUGCACCGAAGCUGCGGCAGCGACACUAUGUGUUGUUGGGUAGGGGAGCGUUCUGUAAGCCUGUGAAGGUGUACUGUGAGGUAUGCUGGAGGUAUCAGAAGUGCGAAUGCUGACAUAAGUAACGAUAAAGCGGGUGAAAAGCCCGCUCGCCGGAAGACCAAGGGUUCCUGUCCAACGUUAAUCGGGGCAGGGUGAGUCGACCCCUAAGGCGAGGCCGAAAGGCGUAGUCGAUGGGAAACAGGUUAAUAUUCCUGUACUUGGUGUUACUGCGAAGGGGGGACGGAGAAGGCUAUGUUGGCCGGGCGACGGUUGUCCCGGUUUAAGCGUGUAGGCUGGUUUUCCAGGCAAAUCCGGAAAAUCAAGGCUGAGGCGUGAUGACGAGGCACUACGGUGCUGAAGCAACAAAUGCCCUGCUUCCAGGAAAAGCCUCUAAGCAUCAGGUAACAUCAAAUCGUACCCCAAACCGACACAGGUGGUCAGGUAGAGAAUACCAAGGCGCUUGAGAGAACUCGGGUGAAGGAACUAGGCAAAAUGGUGCCGUAACUUCGGGAGAAGGCACGCUGAUAUGUAGGUGAAGUCCCUCGCGGAUGGAGCUGAAAUCAGUCGAAGAUACCAGCUGGCUGCAACUGUUUAUUAAAAACACAGCACUGUGCAAACACGAAAGUGGACGUAUACGGUGUGACGCCUGCCCGGUGCCGGAAGGUUAAUUGAUGGGGUCAGCGCAAGCGAAGCUCUUGAUCGAAGCCCCGGUAAACGGCGGCCGUAACUAUAACGGUCCUAAGGUAGCGAAAUUCCUUGUCGGGUAAGUUCCGACCUGCACGAAUGGCGUAAUGAUGGCCAGGCUGUCUCCACCCGAGACUCAGUGAAAUUGAACUCGCUGUGAAGAUGCAGUGUACCCGCGGCAAGACGGAAAGACCCCGUGAACCUUUACUAUAGCUUGACACUGAACAUUGAGCCUUGAUGUGUAGGAUAGGUGGGAGGCUUUGAAGUGUGGACGCCAGUCUGCAUGGAGCCGACCUUGAAAUACCACCCUUUAAUGUUUGAUGUUCUAACGUUGGCCCCUGAUCGGGGUUGCGGACAGUGUCUGGUGGGUAGUUUGACUGGGGCGGUCUCCUCCUAAAGAGUAACGGAGGAGCACGAAGGUUGGCUAAUCCUGGUCGGACAUCAGGAGGUUAGUGCAAUGGCAUAAGCCAGCUUGACUGCGAGCGUGACGGCGCGAGCAGGUGCGAAAGCAGGUCAUAGUGAUCCGGUGGUUCUGAAUGGAAGGGCCAUCGCUCAACGGAUAAAAGGUACUCCGGGGAUAACAGGCUGAUACCGCCCAAGAGUUCAUAUCGACGGCGGUGUUUGGCACCUCGAUGUCGGCUCAUCACAUCCUGGGGCUGAAGUAGGUCCCAAGGGUAUGGCUGUUCGCCAUUUAAAGUGGUACGCGAGCUGGGUUUAGAACGUCGUGAGACAGUUCGGUCCCUAUCUGCCGUGGGCGCUGGAGAACUGAGGGGGGCUGCUCCUAGUACGAGAGGACCGGAGUGGACGCAUCACUGGUGUUCGGGUUGUCAUGCCAAUGGCACUGCCCGGUAGCUAAAUGCGGAAGAGAUAAGUGCUGAAAGCAUCUAAGCACGAAACUUGCCCCGAGAUGAGUUCUCCCUGACUCCUUGAGAGUCCUGAAGGAACGUUGAAGACGACGACGUUGAUAGGCCGGGUGUGUAAGCGCAGCGAUGCGUUGAGCUAACCGGUACUAAUGAACCGUGAGGCUUAACCUUACAACGCCGAAG